UAAAUAUGAUGCUUAGGUUAGAAUUGAAAAUCACACCAGAAUCUGAAGUUUUCUCUCGUAUUUUUGUGAGUAUUUAGAUACUUUGAGUGUUUCUAUACGGGGCAAGUUUUCUUCAGUAUUAUAUCCGAUAUUUCAGUCAGAAGUGCUAUUCUUUGAGAUAAGGGAUAGUAAGGGAUGUUAAUUUUCAAGUAAAUGAUUUUAUUUCCUUUAAUAUCAUUAUACCAAAAUAUUGAUAUGAGUUAUAUUGUGAAAUUUUUGCCUUUUUGUGUUGGAGUUACUAUUCAUGUAUACGAUACUAUUCAUGUUUAUGGUACUAUUCACGUAUACGGCACUAUAUACGUAUACGGUACUAUUUAUGAAUACGGAGUACUAUUCAUGGGUUACUAUUCACAAGUUACUAUUCACGGGAUAUUAUUCACGACAAAAUUGGUUUCUUUUUCUGACCAAAUUAUCGUUGAUUUAUGAAUCUUACUCUUGAAAUUAAAUCCAUGUUUUGAUUAUAUUGUUUUUAUUAUCAUAUAUAACAUUUUUAUAAUUCUGGUGAUGAAUUUCUCUUUUACUUGAGUGUAAAGAUGGGUACAUUAUUGGUAUGAUCGUGACUAUUGGUUCUCUUCGGCCAGUAGCGCAAAGAUGAAUUAUUGACUGGUAUAAUCAUGACCAUUGAAUUUAUGAUUGAAUAUCUUUAGCUUAAGUGCAAAGAUGAAUUGGUCAACAUGGUUAUAAUUAUUGUUUAUAUAAAUUCUUAAAUGAUUAUAUAUUUCUUUGAGAUAUUAAUAUCUUUGGCCCGUAGUGUAAAGAUGACCUGUUGUUGAAUAUCUUUGGCCUAUAGUGCAAAGAUGAACUGCUGAUGAAUAUCUUUAGCCCGUAGUGAAAAGAUGAAUUUAUUAGUAUGAUUAUGAAUAUGAACUGUGAUUUGGUAUAACCAUGAUCUUUGAUAUUUCAGGUAAAGACAGGUGAUGAAAAUUAUCUUCGUCCUAGGUGCGAAGAGGAAUUUAGAACCACAAUUAGGAUUAUGAGUUAUUCAUAUGAUUGUGGACAAGAACUGUUGAUUGAUGUUACAGGGAUAAAACAUUGUUGGUGGACUUUAACAUAGAGAAGAUAAUAGACUUUAUGAUGUAUUUGACUCUUCUAAUGGAUUGGUCGUUCCGCUGCAACUAUGGUUGAAAAAUUUUAUCAUCUACCAUAUGUUCUAAAUCUCUAAUUUAUUACUGACGAAGGCUGUUGAUAAUUUAAUUAUCUUUAGUCAUAAUAUUCUUUACUGGGCUAGUUGGGCUCACCUUUUUAUUUCACAAUUCCUUUCAGGUAAUAAGAGUGUAGCUGGGUCGAGCGGGGGUAACAUGGGAAUAGAACGGUGGUCUAUAGCUGUUGAGG
This 1371-nucleotide long non-coding RNA is filed under the name Panax ginseng (ginseng). RNAcentral's name for it is "long non-coding RNA (PGIN_LNC018870)". Lineage: Eukaryota; Viridiplantae; Streptophyta; Magnoliopsida; Apiales; Araliaceae. The record is from RNAcentral.